Molecule: ribosomal RNA, 424 nt
Filed under: uncultured Serratia sp.
Lineage: Bacteria; Pseudomonadati; Pseudomonadota; Gammaproteobacteria; Enterobacterales; Yersiniaceae
Description: bacterial SSU rRNA
Rfam family: Bacterial small subunit ribosomal RNA
Source: RNAcentral
GGAAUAUUGCACAAUGGGCGCAAGCCUGAUGCAGCCAUGCCGCGUGUGUGAAGAAGGCCUUAGGGUUGUAAAGCACUUUCAGCGAGGAGGAAGGGUUCAGUGUUAAUAGCACUGUGCAUUGACGUUACUCGCAGAAGAAGCACCGGCUAACUCCGUGCCAGCAGCCGCGGUAAUACGGAGGGUGCAAGCGUUAAUCGGAAUUACUGGGCGUAAAGCGCACGCAGGCGGUUUGUUAAGUCUGAUGUGAAAUCCCCGAGCUUAACUUGGGAAAUGCAUUUGAAACUGGCAAGCUAGAGUCUUGUAGAGGGGGGUAGAAUUCCAGGUGUAGCGGUGAAAUGCGUAGAGAUCUGGAGGAAUACCGGUGGCGAAGGCGGCCCCCUGGACAAAGACUGACGCUCAGGUGCGAAAGCGUGGGGAGCAAACA